CUGGAUUUUUUGUAGGAAAUCAGUUUGUAUAAUAUCAAUUAAUAUCAAUACUGUUGUAAUUAGGAUUUACUUUCCUAGUAAGUUCCCUAGAAUAGAGGACACGUUUCCUAGUAUACUUAGAACUCUCUUGUAUAAAACCAAUUGUACCUAUCAAUGAAAAUUAUUCUCUUCCAAUAUCAUAUUCACAUGGUAUCAGAGCAGGACAUCAAACCCUAGCUCUUCAUAUUUCUUUUCCUACGGCACCUUACCUUCUCGUGCCGCAUAACUUCAGCUGCCGGAAACCAUGAGUGAUUCCUCUGGCACAUUCAAGGUUGAACCUUCAAGUCC
RNAcentral lists this long non-coding RNA (327 nucleotides) under Prunus persica (peach). Its description in RNAcentral is "long non-coding RNA (PPER_LNC003632)". Lineage: Eukaryota; Viridiplantae; Streptophyta; Magnoliopsida; Rosales; Rosaceae. The record is from RNAcentral.